RNAcentral lists this ribosomal RNA (253 nucleotides) under uncultured bacterium. Its description in RNAcentral is "partial 16S ribosomal RNA". It matches the Rfam family "Bacterial small subunit ribosomal RNA", at positions 524 to 776 of the family's 1533-position model. RNAcentral also lists the same sequence under 1 other name. The record is from RNAcentral.
UACAGAGGUGGCAAGCGUUGUUCGGAAUUACUGGGCGUAAAGGGCGCGUAGGCGGCCUUGCAAGUCCUGCGUGAAAUCCCUCGGCUCAACUGAGGAAUUGCACGGGAAACUGUUUGGCUUGAGUUCGGGAGAGGGAAGCGGAAUUCCGGGUGUAGCGGUGAAAUGCGUAGAUAUCCGGAGGAACACCGGUGGCGAAGGCGGCUUCCUGGACCGACACUGACGCUGAGGCGCGAAAGCUAGGGGAGCAAACGGG